GAUGAACGCUGGCGGCGUGCCUAAUACAUGCAAGUCGAGCGAACGGACGAGAAGCUUGCUUCUCUGAUGUUAGCGGCGGACGGGUGAGUAACACGUGGAUAACCUACCUAUAAGACUGGGAUAACUUCGGGAAACCGGAGCUAAUACCGGAUGAUAUUUUGAACCGCAUGGUUCAAAAGUGAAAGACGGUCUUGCUGUCACUUAUAGAUGGAUCCGCGCUGCAUUAGCUAGUUGGUAAGGUAACGGCUUACCAAGGCAACGAUGCAUAGCCGACCUGAGAGGGUGAUCGGCCACACUGGAACUGAGACACGGUCCAGACUCCUACGGGAGGCAGCAGUAGGGAAUCUUCCGCAAUGGGCAAAGGCCUGACGGAGCAACGCCGCGUGAGUGAUGAAGGUCUUCGGAUCGUAAAACUCUGUUAUUAGGGAAGAACAUAUGUGUAAGUAACUGUGCACAUCUUGACGGUACCUAAUCAGAAAGCCACGGCUAACUACGUG
Molecule: ribosomal RNA, 497 nt
Filed under: uncultured bacterium
Lineage: Bacteria
Description: partial 16S ribosomal RNA
Rfam family: Bacterial small subunit ribosomal RNA
Source: RNAcentral